RNAcentral lists this ribosomal RNA (2238 nucleotides) under human gut metagenome. Its description in RNAcentral is "bacterial LSU rRNA". It matches the Rfam family "Bacterial large subunit ribosomal RNA", at positions 517 to 2760 of the family's 2925-position model. The record is from RNAcentral.
AAAAGAACCCCGGGAGGGGAGUGAAAUAGAUCCUGAAACCGCAUACAUACAAACAGUAGGAGCCUCGUUAAGGGGUGACUGCGUACCUUUUGCAUAAUGGGUCAGCGACUUACGUUUAAUGGCGAGCUUAACCGUAUAGGGGAGGCGCAGCGAAAGCGAGUUCGAACAGAGCGUUCAGUCGUUAGGCGUAGACCCGAAACCAGAUGAUCUAUCCAUGGCCAGGUUGAAGGUGUGGUAACACACACUGGAGGACCGAACCGACUAGUGUUGCAAAAUUAGCGGAUGAGCUGUGGAUAGGGGUGAAAGGCUAAACAAAUCUGGAGAUAGCUGGUUCUCCCCGAAAACUAUUGAGGUAGUGCCUCGUGUAUGACUCCAGGGGGUAGAGCACUGUUAUGGCUAGGGGGACAUGGCGUCUUACCAAACCAUGGCAAACUCCGAAUACUUGGAAGUUUGAGCACGGGAGACAGAGCACCGGGUGCUAACGUCCGGACUCAAGAGGGAAACAACCCAGACCGCCGGCUAAGGUCCCUAAUAUUGACUAAGUGGAAAACGAAGUGGAAAGGCUAAGACAGUCAGGAAGUUGGCUUAGAAGCAGCCAUCCUUCAAAGAAAGCGUAAUAGCUCACUGAUCGAGUCUUUCUGCGCGGAAGAUGUAACGGGGCUAAGUCAAUAACCGAAGCCGCGGAUUCACACUUGUGUGUGAGUGGUAGGGGAGCGUUCUGUAAGCCUGCGAAGGUGACUCGUAAGGGUUGCUGGAGGUAUCAGAAGUGCGAAUGCUGACAUGAGUAACGUUAAAGCGGGUGAAAAGCCCGCUCGCCGUAAGCCCAAGGUUUCCUGCUCUACGUUCAUCGGAGCAGGGUGAGUCGGCCCCUAAGGUGAGGCUGAGAAGCGUAACUGAUGGGAACAAGGUUAAUAUUCCUUGACCACCGCUGAAUGCGAAGGGGGGACGGAGUAUUGAAGAUCAUCCGGGUGUUGGAUAUCCCGGUUUGCGAGCGUAGGAGGCUGACAGGCAAAUCCGUCAGCGAAUCUCCGAGGCAAAGCAUCGAGCUCUCUUUUGAGCGAAGUGAUUGGAUGUGCUUCCAGGAAAAGCCUCUAAGCUCCAGUUCAGCGGGACCGUACCGCAAACCGACACUGGUGGGCGAGCUGAAUAUGCUCAGGCGCUUGAGAGAACUCAGGAGAAGGAACUCGGCAAAUUGACACCGUAACUUCGGGAUAAGGUGUGCCUUUGUAGCGUGGAGGGAGAAACACCCCGAGCGCGAAGAGGUCUCAGAUAAUCGGUGGCUGCGACUGUUUAUUAAAAACACAGCACUCUGCAAAGACGAAAGUCGACGUAUAGGGUGUGAUGCCUGCCCGGUGCUGGAAGAUUAAUUGAUGGGGUGCAAGCUCCUGAUCGAAGCCCCAGUAAACGGCGGCCGUAACUAUAACGGUCCUAAGGUAGCGAAAUUCCUUGUCGGGCAAGUUCCGACCUGCACGAAUGGCAUAACGAUGGCCACACUGUCUCCUCCUGAGACUCAGUGAAGUUGAAGUGUUUGUGAUGAUGCAAUCUCCCCGCGGCUAGACGGAAAGACCCCAUGAACCUUUACUGUAGCUUUGCAUUGGACUUUGAACCGAUCUGUGUAGGAUAGGCGGGAGCCUGUGAAACCACAACGCCAGUUGUGGCGGAGGCGUCCUUGAAAUACCGCCCUGAUUUGUUUGAGGUUCUAACCUGGGACAGUCAUCCUGUCCGGGGACCGUGCAUGGUAGGCAGUUUGACUGGGGCGGUCUCCUCCUAAAGGGUAACGGAGGAGUGCGAAGGUACGCUAGGUACGGUCGGAAAUCGUGCUGAUAGUGCAAUGGCAAAAGCGUGCUUGACUGCGAGACCCACAAGUCGAGCAGAUACGAAAGUAGGUCAUAGUGAUCCGGUGGCUCUGUAUGGAAGGGCCAUCGCUCAACGGAUAAAAGGUACUCUGGGGAUAACAGGCUGAUACCGCCCAAGAGUUCAUAUCGACGGCGGUGUUUGGCACCUCGAUGUCGGCUCAUCUCAUCCUGGGGCUGUAGCCGGUCCCAAGGGUAUGGCUGUUCGCCAUUUAAAGAGGUACGUGAGCUGGGUUUAAAACGUCGUGAGACAGUUUUGUCCCUAUCUGCCGUGGGCGCUGGAAGAUUGACGGGGGCUGCUCCUAGUACGAGAGGACCGGAGUGGACUCACCUCUGGUGUACCGGUUGUCACGCCAGUGGCAUCGCCGGGUAGCUAUGUGGGGAA